RNAcentral lists this ribosomal RNA (423 nucleotides) under uncultured bacterium. RNAcentral's name for it is "bacterial SSU rRNA". It matches the Rfam family "Bacterial small subunit ribosomal RNA", at positions 207 to 622 of the family's 1533-position model. The record is from RNAcentral.
AAGACCUUGCGCUUUUGGAGCGGCCGAUGCCUGAUUAGCUUGUUGGUAAGGUAAAAGCUUACCAAGGCUUCGAUCAGUAGCUGGUCUGAGAGGACGACCAGCCACACUGGGACUGAGACACGGUCCAGACUCCUACGGGAGGCAGCAGUGGGGAAUUUUGGACAAUGGGCGCAAGCCUGAUCCAGCCAUGCCGCGUGAGUGAAGAAGGCCUUCGGGUUGUAAAGCUCUUUCAGUCGGGAAGAAAAGGUUGCGACUAAUAAUCGCAAUUCAUGACGGUACCGGAAGAAGAAGCACCGGCUAACUACGUGCCAGCAGCCGCGGUAAUACGUAGGGUGCGAGCGUUAAUCGGAAUUACUGGGCGUAAAGGGUGCGCAGGCGGUUUUGUAAGUCAGAUGUGAAAUCCCCGGGCUUAACCUGGGAACU